Molecule: ribosomal RNA, 658 nt
Filed under: uncultured bacterium
Lineage: Bacteria
Description: bacterial SSU rRNA
Rfam family: Bacterial small subunit ribosomal RNA
Source: RNAcentral
CUGGCUCAGGACGAACGCUGGCGGCGUGCCUAACACAUGCAAGUCGAACGGAGAAUCAGCAAUGAUUUUUAGUGGCGAACGGGUGAGUAACGCGUAGACAACCUGCCUUCUAGAUGGGGACAACACUGCGAAAGUGGUGCUAAUACCGAAUGUUGCAUUAAGCCUGCAUGGGCUUGAUACUAAAGGUGGCCUCUAUUUAUAAGCUACCACUAGAAGAUGGGUCUGCGUCUGAUUAGCUAGUUGGUGAGGUAAUGGCUCACCAAGGCGAUGAUCAGUAGCCGGUCUGAGAGGAUGAACGGCCACACUGGGACUGAGACACGGCCCAGACUCCUACGGGAGGCAGCAGUGGGGAAUCUUCCGCAAUGGACGAAAGUCUGACGGAGCAACGCCGCGUGAGUGAAGAAGGUUUUCGGAUCGUAAAGCUCUGUCUUUGAGGACGAAUGUGCUUAAUGUGAAUAAUGUUAAGUAAUGACGGUACUCAAGGAGGAAGCCACGGCUAACUACGUGCCAGCAGCCGCGGUAAUACGUAGGUGGCAAGCGUUGUCCGGAAUUAUUGGGCGUAAAGCGCGCGCAGGCGGGAUAUUAAGUCUGUCUUAAAAGUUCGGGGCUCAACCCCGUGAUGGGAUGGAAACUAAUAUUCUUGAGUGCAGGGGAGGAA